RNAcentral lists this transfer RNA (73 nucleotides) under Fukomys damarensis (Damara mole-rat). It matches the Rfam family "tRNA". Rfam says of the family: Transfer RNA (tRNA) molecules are approximately 80 nucleotides in length. Their secondary structure includes four short double-helical elements and three loops (D, anti-codon, and T loops). The record is from Rfam by way of RNAcentral. Lineage: Eukaryota; Metazoa; Chordata; Mammalia; Rodentia; Bathyergidae.
GGGCCAGUGGUGCGAUGGAUAACAACAUCUGACUACGGAUCAGGAGAUUCAGGUUGGACUCCUGGCUGGCUUG